RNAcentral lists this ribosomal RNA (421 nucleotides) under uncultured bacterium. RNAcentral describes it as "bacterial SSU rRNA". It matches the Rfam family "Bacterial small subunit ribosomal RNA", at positions 355 to 774 of the family's 1533-position model. The record is from RNAcentral.
UAAGGAAUAUUGGUCAAUGGACGCAAGUCUGAACCAGCCAUGCCGCGUGAAGGAUGAAGGUCCUCUGGAUUGUAAACUUCUUUUAUCUGGGACGAAAACGGGAUUUUUAUCUCAAUUGACGGUACCAGAGGAAUAAGCACCGGCUAAUUCCGUGCCAGCAGCCGCGGUAAUACGGAGGGUGCGAGCGUUAUCCGGAUUUACUGGGUUUAAAGGGUGCGUAGGUGGGCUUAUAAGUCAGUGGUGAAAUCUCCGAGCUUAACUUGGAAACUGCCGUUGAUACUAUAGGUCUUGAAUUAUCUGGAGGUAAGCGGAAUAUGUCAUGUAGCGGUGAAAUGCUUAGAUAUGACAUAGAACACCAAUUGCGAAGGCAGCUUACUACAUAUAAAUUGACGCUGAGGCACGAAAGCGUGGGGAUCAAACA